GGACGAACGCUGGCGGCGUGCUUACCCCAUGCAAGUCGAACGGAAAGGCCCUGCUUUUGUGGGGUGCUCGAGUGGCGAACGGGUGAGUAACACGUGAGUAACCUGCCCUUGACUUUGGGAUAACUUCAGGAAACUGGGGCUAAUACCGGAUAGGAGCUCCUGCUGCAUGGUGGGGGUUGGAAAGUUUCGGCGGUUGGGGAUGGACUCGCGGCUUAUCAGCUUGUUGGUGGGGUAGUGGCUUACCAAGGCUUUGACGGGUAGCCGGCCUGAGAGGGUGACCGGCCACAUUGGGACUGAGAUACGGCCCAGACUCCUACGGGAGGCAGCAGUGGGGAAUAUUGCACAAUGGGCGGAAGCCUGAUGCAGCAACGCCGCGUGCGGGAUGACGGCCUUCGGGUUGUAACCCGCUUUCGCCUGUGACGAAGCGUGAGUGACGGUAAUGGGUAAAGAAGCACCGGCUAACUACGUG
Molecule: ribosomal RNA, 469 nt
Filed under: uncultured bacterium
Lineage: Bacteria
Description: partial 16S ribosomal RNA
Rfam family: Bacterial small subunit ribosomal RNA
Source: RNAcentral